GGGGAAGUGCUGGAAUUGGCAGACAGGCAUGACUUAGGAUCAUGUGCUCGUAAGAGCGUGUGGGUUCGACCCCCUCCUUCCCUA
Molecule: transfer RNA, 84 nt
Filed under: Chloroflexota bacterium
Lineage: Bacteria; Bacillati; Chloroflexota
Description: Chloroflexi bacterium (Maroochydoore River metagenome) tRNA-Leu
Rfam family: tRNA
About the family: Transfer RNA (tRNA) molecules are approximately 80 nucleotides in length. Their secondary structure includes four short double-helical elements and three loops (D, anti-codon, and T loops).
Source: RNAcentral